Molecule: ribosomal RNA, 561 nt
Filed under: Hypopachus ustum (two-spaded narrow-mouthed toad)
Lineage: Eukaryota; Metazoa; Chordata; Amphibia; Anura; Microhylidae
Description: partial 16S ribosomal RNA
Rfam family: Bacterial large subunit ribosomal RNA
Source: RNAcentral
AAACAUCGCCUCCUGAAAACAUAGGAGGUCCAGCCUGCCCAGUGACAUGUUAAACGGCCGCGGUACCCUAACCGUGCAAAGGUAGCGCAAUCACUUGUUCUUUAAAUGAGGACUAGUAUGAACGGCAUCACGAGGGUUACACUGUCUCCUACUUCUAAUCAGUGAAACUGAUCCCCCCGUGAAGAAGCGGGGAUAAAAUUGCAAGACGAGAAGACCCCAUGGAGCUUUAAACUCAGUAUUAACCGCCACAACCUACAUCAAACAAAACAGGCGGACCUAACAACUAGUUUUAGGUUGGGGUGACCACGGAGCACAACACAACCUCCAUGAUGACUCCUCUAAUCUUAGAGUGACAACUCAAAGAAUCAAAAAAUUGACAUUCAUUGACCCAAAUAAUUUUGAUCAACGAACCAAGUUACCCUGGGGAUAACAGCGCAAUCCAUUUCAAGAGCUCCUAUCGACAAAUGGGUUUACGACCUCGAUGUUGGAUCAGGGUAUCCAAGUGGUGCAGCCGCUACUAAAGGUUCGUUUGUUCAACGAUUGAAACCCUACGUGAUCUGA